RNAcentral lists this ribosomal RNA (305 nucleotides) under uncultured bacterium. RNAcentral describes it as "bacterial SSU rRNA". It matches the Rfam family "Bacterial small subunit ribosomal RNA", at positions 338 to 660 of the family's 1533-position model. The record is from RNAcentral.
CCUACGGGGCGCAGCAGUGGGGAAUAUUGCACAAUGGGGGAAACCCUGAUGCAGCGACGCCGCGUGGAGGAAGAAGGUCUUCGGAUUGUAAACUCCUGUCCUUGGGGACGAUAAUGACGGUACCCAAGGAGGAAGCACCGGCUAACUACGUGCCAGCAGCCGCGGUAAAACGUAGGGUGCAAGCGUUGUCCGGAAUUACUGGGUGUAAAGGGCGUGUAGGCGGGACUGCAAGUCAGAUGUGAAACCCAUGGGCUCAACCCAUGGCCUGCAUUUGAAACUGUAGUUCUUGAGUGAUGGAGAGGCAG